This 1154-nucleotide long non-coding RNA is filed under the name Mus caroli (Ryukyu mouse). RNAcentral describes it as "lncRNA (MGP_CAROLIEiJ_G0003601.1)". Lineage: Eukaryota; Metazoa; Chordata; Mammalia; Rodentia; Muridae. The record is from RNAcentral.
AAGUACAUUAGCACAUAGCACAAGGCCCACUCUGAAACCCACCUGUGUAGAACUUCAUGAGGGACGGCACCAGCAAUUUGGUAGAGAGAGGAUGGUUCUCAAUCAUCUCAAAGAACUUCUGAGUUCUCGGCUGGACAGAAGGGUUGGUCAUAAACAUGACCUCCACCAGCUUGGCCACUAGCAUCAACAGUUCUGUGCUACUCUCAAGCAAAACAUUUGUCUGCUAGGCUGCGACAUCUCAGAGGGCCUGCCAGAGGAGACACACACAGGGGCCACAUCGUGCUAAGUGGAUGUUGAGCUUCUUACAGACCCCUUAGUCACAACAAUGGAAUACAAGGGAGGCUACAGAUCUGAAAGAAGAGCUCUGGUUAUUCUGCAUCCUGACGUUCGGAGCCACGAGGAUGAGAGGGCCAGGCCCACGUCACUCACAGAGUUCUGUCAGCCACUCAUUCACAUCCUCCAUCGUUGCAUUUAUCCGUGUCUCAUCAUUCGGGAGAGUGAUCCGACAUCUCGGGUGGAAUAUGUACAUGCCUCCUGAGUGCUCGGCAGCACCUGUGAAGGCAGAAGAGGGAAAUCCUCUGGAGCUGGAGUUCCAGGCUAUGCUGCAAACCACACUCCAGCCAUGCAGAAGAGCAUCAUACACUCCUGACUGCUAAGCUGUCUUCCCAGCCCCAAUCCUCUGUUGCAUCUCCAUUUAUUAUUACUGUAUGUGUGUCUGGGGAAAGGGGGAGUAGAGUAUGUAUGUGGGAUCUCUCAUCUUGACGUGGGGGGUUCCAGUUGUCAGGCUUGAACAGAAAGCAAUUAGUAACUCAAGAGCAAGCUAUCUCAUUAUGCUUGAUGUUUAAAUCCCAAGUAUGGUUUGCUUGUUGUUCUGAAAACCAGCAAGAUGCCUCUGACAGUCAUCCUUUGUGCUGGCUCCCCAGAAUAGCAAGGCACAUUCCCACAGUGCCUCACUCGAUGCUGUCUAGGACUGGCAGUAGCGGAGUAUGGAAAGCUGCCAAUACACUAGGGUGGCUCAGGACACAGUCACACAAGUGUCUGGCCUACAGCAGGGUCUCAGGUUUUACAUCUGAAGGUGAGAGUGAUCUACACGUGUAAUCUCAGCACUCGAGAGGAGGGCGCAGGGCCAUGAGCUAAUGCAAACACGAGACUGU